This 93-nucleotide ribosomal RNA is filed under the name Fusobacterium sp. PH5-7. The record is from RNAcentral. Lineage: Bacteria; Fusobacteriati; Fusobacteriota; Fusobacteriia; Fusobacteriales; Fusobacteriaceae.
CUUGGUAAGAAUAGCUGCGGGGGUACACCUGGUCCCAUUCCGAACCCAGAAGUUAAGCCCGUAAACGCUGAAAGUACUUGGAGGGAAGCCUCC